ACGGGUGAGUAACACGUGGGUAACCUACCCAUCAGAGGGGGAUAACACUUGGAAACAGGUGCUAAUACCGCAUAACAGUUUAUGCCGCAUGGCAUAAGAGUGAAAGGCGCUUUCGGGUGUCGCUGAUGGAUGGACCCGCGGUGCAUUAGCUAGUUGGUGAGGUAACGGCUCACCAAGGCCACGAUGCAUAGCCGACCUGAGAGGGUGAUCGGCCACACUGGGACUGAGACACGGCCCAGACUCCUACGGGAGGCAGCAGUAGGGAAUCUUCGGCAAUGGACGAAAGUCUGACCGAGCAACGCCGCGUGAGUGAAGAAGGUUUUCGGAUCGUAAAACUCUGUUGUUAGAGAAGAACAAGGACGUUAGUAACUGAACGUCCCCUGACGGUAUCUAACCAGAAAGCCACGGCUAACUACGUGCCAGCAGCCGCGGUAAUACGUAGGUGGCAAGCGUUGUCCGGAUUUAUUGGGCGUAAAGCGAGCGCAGGCGGUUUCUUAAGUCUGAUGUGAAAGCCCCCGGCUCAACCGGGGAGGGUCAUUGGAAACUGGGAGACUUGAGUGCAGAAGAGGA
RNAcentral lists this ribosomal RNA (570 nucleotides) under uncultured bacterium. Its description in RNAcentral is "bacterial SSU rRNA". It matches the Rfam family "Bacterial small subunit ribosomal RNA", at positions 102 to 658 of the family's 1533-position model. The record is from RNAcentral.